GACGAACGCUGGCGGCGUGCUUAACACAUGCAAGUCGAACGGUGAAGCGCCUUCCUUUUUGGUGGGUGUGGAUGAGUGGCGAACGGGUGAGUAACACGUGAGUAACCUGCCCCCUUCUUCUGGAUAACCGCAUGAAAGUGUGGCUAAUACGGGAUAUUCUGGGUCUGUCGCAUGAUGGGUCUGGGAAAGAUAUUGUUUCGGUGGGGGAUGGGCUCGCGGUCUAUCAGCUUGUUGGUGGGGUGAUGGCCUACCAAGGCGGUGACGGGUAGCCGGCCUGAGAGGGUGGACGGUCACACUGGGACUGAGACACGGCCCAGACUCCUACGGGAGGCAGCAGUGUGGAAUAUUGCACAAUGGGCGCAAGCCUGAUGCAGCGACGCCGCGUGAGGGAUGGAGGCCUUCGGGUUGUGAACCUCUUUCGCCAGUGAAGCAGGCCUGCCUCGUUUGUGGGUGGGUUGACGGUAGCUGGAUAAGAAGCGCCGGCUAACUACGUG
This 494-nucleotide ribosomal RNA is filed under the name uncultured bacterium. RNAcentral describes it as "partial 16S ribosomal RNA". It matches the Rfam family "Bacterial small subunit ribosomal RNA", at positions 28 to 507 of the family's 1533-position model. The record is from RNAcentral.